GUGAGGAAUUUUCCGCAAUGGGCGAAAGCCUGACGGAGCAAUGCCGCGUGAAGGAUGAAGGCCUAUGGGUUGUAAACUUCUUUUCUCAGAAAAGAAUUAUGACGGUAUCUGAGGAAUAAGCAUCGGCUAACUCUGUGCCAGCAGCCGCGGUAAGACAGAGGAUGCAAGCGUUAUCCGGAAUGAUUGGGCGUAAAGCGUCUGUAGGUUGUUUAAAAAGUAUUCUGUCAAAGAUUAGGGCUUAACCCUAGAUAGGCAGAAUAAACUUUUAAGCUAGGGUUUGGUAGAGGCAGAGGGAAUUCCCGGUGGAGCGGUGAAAUGCGUAGAUAUCGGGAGGAACACCAAAGGCGAAGGCACUCUGCUGGGCCAAUACUAACACUGAGAGACGAAAGCGAGGGGAGCAAAUGGGAUUAGAUACCCGUGUAGUCC
RNAcentral lists this ribosomal RNA (426 nucleotides) under uncultured bacterium. RNAcentral's name for it is "bacterial SSU rRNA". It matches the Rfam family "Bacterial small subunit ribosomal RNA", at positions 354 to 796 of the family's 1533-position model. The record is from RNAcentral.